AUUGGUNAAUGGNCGCAAGUCUGACCAGCCAUGCCGCGUGGAGGAUGAAGGUCCUCUGGAUUGUAAACUUCUUUUAUUUGGGAAGAAACCCACGAUUUCUAUUGUGGUUGACGGUACCAGAUGAAUAAGCACCGGCUAACUUCGUGCCAGCAGCCGCGGUAAUACGAAGGGGGCUAGCGUUGCUCGGAAUUACNUGGGCGUAAAGGGCNCNGUAGGCGGAUGUUUAAGUCGGGGGUGAAAGCCCGGGGCUCAACCUCGGAAUUGCCUUCGAUACUGGACAUCUUGAGUACGGGAGAGGUGAGUGGAACUCCGAGUGUAGAGGUGAAAUUCGUAGAUAUUCGGAAGAACACCAGUGGCGAAGGCGACUCACUGGCCCGUUACUGACGCUGAGGCGCGAAAGCGUGGGGAGCAAACAGGAUUAGAUACCCUGGUAGUCCACGCUGUAAACGAUGAGUGCUAGUUGUCGGGCGGCAUGCCGUUCGGUGACGCAGCUAACGCAUUAAGCACUCCGCCUGGGGAGUACGGUCGCAAGAUUAAAACUCAAAGAAAUUGACGGA
RNAcentral lists this ribosomal RNA (557 nucleotides) under uncultured bacterium. Its description in RNAcentral is "bacterial SSU rRNA". It matches the Rfam family "Bacterial small subunit ribosomal RNA", at positions 363 to 917 of the family's 1533-position model. The record is from RNAcentral.